AACGCACCUUGCGCUCCUUGGUAUUCCUUGGAGCAUGCCUGUUUGAGUAUCAUGAGCAAAUCUCAAAGUCGAUCCUUUUGUUAAUUCAAUUGGUUUUGCUUUGGACUUGGAGGUCUUGCAGAUUUCACCAUCUGCUCCUCUUAAAUGUAUUAGCUGGAUCUCAGUAUUAUGCUUGGUUCCACUCGGCGUGAUAAGUAUCACUCGCUGAGGACACUGGUUAAAAAAGGUGGCCAGGAAAAUACUGAUUGAACCGCUUCUAACGGUCUAUUAACUUAGACAAUUACCCCUUAAGUUUGAUCUCAAAUCAGGUAGGACUACCCGCUGAACUUAA
This 331-nucleotide unclassified non-coding RNA is filed under the name uncultured Ceratobasidiaceae. RNAcentral's name for it is "sequence contains ITS2". The record is from RNAcentral. Lineage: Eukaryota; Fungi; Basidiomycota; Agaricomycetes; Cantharellales; Ceratobasidiaceae.